RNAcentral lists this ribosomal RNA (423 nucleotides) under uncultured archaeon. Its description in RNAcentral is "partial 16S ribosomal RNA". It matches the Rfam family "Archaeal small subunit ribosomal RNA", at positions 323 to 746 of the family's 1478-position model. The record is from RNAcentral.
CUACGGGCGGCACCAGGCGAGAAAACUUUGCAAUGUGCGAAAGCACGACAAGGUUAAUCCGAGUGGUUUGUGCUAAACGAACCUUUUGACAGUCCUAGAAACACUGUUGAAUAAGGGGUGGGCAAGUUCUGGUGUCAGCCGCCGCGUGUAAAACCAGCACCUCAAGUGGUCAGGAUGAUUAUUGGGCCUAAAGCAUCCGUAGCCGGCUCUGUAAGUUUUCGGUUAAAUCUGUACGCUCAACGUACAGGCUGCCGGGAAUACUGCAGAGCUAGGGAGUGGGAGAGGUAGACGGUACUCGGUAGGAAGGGGUAAAAUCCUUUGAUCUAUUGAUGACCACCUGUGGCGAAGGCGGUCUACCAGAACACGUCCGACGGUGAGGGAUGAAAGCUGGGGGAGCAAACCGGAUUAGAUACCCGAGUAGUC